AUGGGGGGACCUCAGCCUUCCUCCGUCCCACCUCUCCCAUCCACCUGCCACUGGCCGCGUCUCCACGCAGGUGCAGCUUGCCUGGAACGGAGGGCAGCCGCUGGCCUUGCAGCUCACCUGGGCCAACAGGUCCUCGACGCAGAGCACCUCCUGGGAUGGUUGCGUGGCUGCCUCCCUGGGGCAGGUACACAUUGCCCGCCCUCCCGACCCGGCACCGGGCUGCCCCAAACCCCGGGCCCUGUGCUGCCGCCCCUGCCCCAGUCACAUCCACAUCCUCUUCCCCGUCAGCUCCAGGACACCUGGGGCCUGGGCACCCUCAGGGCCUGUGGGGCCUUAACGCAGACCCCAGCUGUGCUCAGCGAGUGGCUGGAUCUGUCCUGGGACGGACGCCAGGUGCGGCAGAACCUGACUUACGAGAGGCGCCAGCCAUUCCUCCCGGACAAGAUCCAUGCAGAGGCCAUGCUGGAGCAUGUCCUCGGGGCCCCCUGCUCCACGCAGAGCUUCUGGGGAGACGUGGAGACAGACCAUGCCCGCUGGGUGCGCCACUCCCUGCGGCUGGGGCUCUGCCACCUGCCCACGGCACUCUCAGUCUCUGGGGAGCACACCCUGGGCAGCGGUGAGCUCCUGCUACACUCCAGAUGCCAGCUGGGCCUCGCCCCAGACCCAGAUCACGGCCUGCACCUCAGCCUGACACUCCACAACCACAGCAGGCCCCGGACGCAUGACUACUCCGGGGAGCUGGAGCUCCAUGGCCCCAAAGCUCAGUGGCUUGGCCUGCUGGGCCGCGUCUCCACCUCGGCUUCUCGAAGCCUGGUCCAGCUGGAGGGAAGCGUGGACGACGGGGAUGAGAAAGUGAGGCUGUCGGUGUCUCGGGCCCCGAACUGCCUCCAGGCCUCGGUGGCCCACGAGGAAGGGAGCCAAGAGGAGAGCGUGCUGCUGCGGGCCUGCGCCCACAGGCAGGCGGCGGAGGUGGAGGCUCUGCUCCGGGACCGAGGGCAGCCCGUCCAGCCGCUGGUUCGCUUGACCCUGCAGGCUGCCAACCAGAGCCUCCGCUUGGCCGCACGCGGCUGCCAGGGGACCCUGCUGGGCCACGUGGAGUCCAGGGUGGCUGCUCUCGGGUCCCAGAUGCAAGCGGGGCUGGAGGAGAGGAUCCACAGCUUGGAUGCCUAUGUGAGACGGUUCCAGCGCCUGGUGCAGCCAGCGGGCGCCCUGGAUGGCAUGGCCGGCCUGCUUCUGCGGCUGUGCCAGGCGGGGCUGGGGGCCGUGCAGGAUGGUGGCAGGGCGGUGGCCGCGCUGUGGGGCCUGAGCCCCACUGGGCGGGUGCUCACCCUCCACGUGCCGCUCUCCCUGGAGAGGCUGCGGGCAGGUCUGGAGCAGCUGCGGAAGGAGCUAGAACGGCCCCUGGCCACGCUGAAGGAUGCCUACCUGGAGGUGACGGUGCAGCCCCUGGACAACGUGUGGCGGAAGCGGGCGGAGGAGGCCCUGCGGCAGCUGCAGGCCUGGGUGUCCGGGACACCGGGCACCUGGGGGUCCGGACCCCUUGGGGCAGCGCUGGAGGCCACAGGGGGCGCCCUGGAGCUGGCCGCCCACCAGAUGCUGUCUUGGGCCGACGCUGCGCUCUCACGGGCACUGAGGCGGCUCCGCAGACCCCUGUUGGACCUGUACAGCUUCUCGGCCAGGUGACUGUUCCGCUCCGAGGCCCAGCCCCACGCCAGGCACACCUUCCACCUCAUCCACUUCCCUGCCAGAGGCAUUUUCAUCCCCAUUUUACAGAUCAGAAAACUGAGGUCUGUUCUUCAUUCUGCAGAUAUUUUACAAGUGUUCUCUCUGAGCAGGUGGGGUUUUAGAUGCUGCAGACGCAGUGGUGGGUGGGACAGGUUCUGGCCCUCUCCUGGCUGCCUGGGGAGACAGUGACCAGGUUAUCUGCCCCUCGGGGGCGGCAAGCCUUCCUGUAAACGGCCUGAGAGUGAUGUGUACGGAUUUUGUAGCUAGCUGGCCCCUCAUGCAGCCUUGGUCUUUUGUUUCUGUUAAGAAUUCUUUGAACAUGUCAAAGCCAUUCUUAGCUUGUAGGCUGUCCAAAAACAGGACACAGGCUGGAUUUGGCUACAGACCAUAGUCUACCCACCUUUGAGGUAGUACGUGUGCCAAGUCGCCUUAGUCAGGUACGAUUCUUUGUGACCCCAUGGACUGUGACCCGCCAGGCUCCUCAGUCCAUGGAAUUUUCCAGACAAGAAUACUGGAGUGGGUUGCCAUUCCCUUCUCCAGGGGAUCUUCCCAACCCAGGGAUCAAACCCAUGUCUCUUACGUCUCCUGCCUUGGCAGGCAGGUUCUGUACCAUUAGUGCCACCUGGGAAGCCCCUGAGCUAGUAUGUUAUCUAACUGCCACAGGGAAAAAAGGACAUGGGGGCAUUUUUUUAACAUUAACCUUUUAAUGAAUUAUUAGUUUGGCCAAGUGGUGCAGCAUGCAGGAUCUGAGUUCCCGAACCAGUGAUUGAACCCAUGGCCCCUGCAGUGGAAGUGCGGAGUCUUAACCACUGGACUGCAAGGGAAGAUGCCGACGGGGGCAUUUUACAGAGUGAGGCCAUGGUUGGCUUCAGUGAGAAGGCAGCAUCUGAGCCUUGUAAGGGCGAGGAAGUGAGCUGGGUAUAGUCAUGGGAAGAGAGUUCCAGGAGGAGGGCAAAGCCGGCGCAAAGGCCUGGGGGAGCAAAUGCAUCUGCUGCCGGAGGAAUAUGAAGGAAGCCGGGGGAGCUGGAGCGGAGGGUGGAGGAGUUAGGGAGAUAACGGGCUUCUGGAAUACACAGGAGGUUUUGAGCUGAGGAAGGACAUGCUCUGCCUUUCAUUUAAUAAGAUCCCUCUGGCGCCCAUGUAGAGAAUAAAGACUGGGGUCAGGAAGUGGGGGAUAGAAGU
Long non-coding RNA from Bos indicus x Bos taurus (hybrid cattle), 2907 nucleotides. The record is from Ensembl. Lineage: Eukaryota; Metazoa; Chordata; Mammalia; Artiodactyla; Bovidae.